RNA transcript from Dioscorea cayenensis subsp. rotundata (Guinea yam), 2922 nucleotides. It is a transcript of the gene named putative pentatricopeptide repeat-containing protein At5g52630, with no coding region annotated. NCBI's taxonomy places the organism in Eukaryota, Viridiplantae, Streptophyta, Magnoliopsida, Dioscoreales, Dioscoreaceae. The transcript has 4 exons. The record is from RefSeq and is a predicted model, not a curated record.
UUCCUUAUCCCAUUCAAUGCAUUCAUCUUCACUCUCGCUCUCACUUCCAAUGAUAAAGUUCAAGUUCUCUUGUGGACAUAAAACCAAACAUUUCAUCUGCUUCCCUUCUCCAUGGCUUCUCUACCUUCCAUUGUCAUCAAUGGCACCCUUCACAGGCUCGAGCCCGACCUCCGAAAGCUCUCUCCGACCUCCCUCCCUGCAGAGAAGGGGUUUUCAUACCAGAGGAGCACAGCGGCGCCGGAGAGCUUCUCUGAAGCAUCACAACCACUGACCAUCCAGGAAGCUCUCUCCUUUAUUGGAGAAGGGUCUCGAGUUGAGCCAGCUCUCUAUGUCCCUCUUUUGCAACAAUGCAUUGAGUAUAGAUCUCUCUCGGAGACGGAAUGCAUCCAUGGACAUAUCAUCAAGACUGGGUUGCGUGAAGAAGUGUUUUUAUCGACUUCUCUUGUCAAUGUUUAUAUGAAAUGUGGUGCCGUGGAUUAUGCUCGGAAUUUGUUUGAGAAAAUUCCUCAGAGAAAUAUUUUUACUUGGACUGCCUUGAUUACAGGCUAUGUUCACAAUGGACAGCCAGAAAAUGGCAUGGUUGUGUUUGUGCAGCUCUUGGAAUCUGGUGUUUAUCCGACUUAUUAUACGCUGGGUGCAGUCCUAAGCGCAUGUUCGGCUUCUUAUUCUAUUGAGUUUGGUGAGCAAGUUCAUGGGUAUAUCAUUAAGUUUGGGCUUGAAUCAGCUACGAGCAUGGGGAACUCACUGUGUUCCUUAUAUUCCAAAUGCGGGAGUCUGGAAUUAUCUGUGAAGGCAUUUGGCAGAAUCCCCGAUAAGAAUGUGAUUUCAUGGACGACAGUGAUCACAGCCUGUGGUGACAAUGGUGAUGCUGACUUGGGCUUAAGAUUAUUUGUUGAUAUGAUAUCUGAGGACACGGUGCCUAAUGAGUUCACCUUAACAAGCGCUAUGAGUUUGUGUUGCUCUGCACAUGCUUUUGAUCUCGGAAAGCAAGUGCAUUCACUGUGUGUAAAAUACGGAUGUGAUUCAAGCCUUCCAGUCAGGAAUUCAAUCAUGUACUUGUAUUUGAAAAGGGGAGAACUGGAUGAGGCACGGAGGUUAUUUGACAGUAUGGAGACUGUGAGUCUGAUUACAUGGAAUGCAAUGAUUGCAGGCCAUGCCGAGCUGAUGGACAUGGCCAAAAAUGAUGCCACGGCUCAUAAGAGUGGCAUUGAAGCACUUAAGAUGUUCCGCAGAUUGCACCGGUCAGGAUUGAAGCCUGAUCUGUUCAGCUUCUCUAGUGUCUUAAGAGUGUGCAGUGGUUUGGUGGCCUUGGAGCAAGGUGAGCAAGUUCACGGUCAGGCUAUCAAAAGUGGGUUUCUAGCUGAUGUUGUUGUGAGCAGUGCUUUGGUGAACAUGUACAACAAGUGUGGUUCCAUUGAUAAAGCAAGCAAAGCUUUUGUUGAGAUGAAUACAAGAACUCUUAUAUCCUGGACUUCAAUGAUCAGUGCAUAUUCACAGCAUGGCCGAGCUAAGGAAGCUAUCCAACUCUUUGAGCAGAUGAGACUUGCAGGAGUGAGGCCAAACCAUGUUACAUUUGUUGGUGUUCUAUCAGCUUGUGCCCAUGCAGGCAUGGUUAGUGAGGCUCAGCACUACUUCAAUGUGAUGAGAAAUGAAUAUGGGAUUAAGCCUGUCAUGGAUCAUUACGCUUGCAUGGUGGAUAUGUAUGUGAGAUUGGGUUGUUUGGAAAGUGCAUUUGACUUCGUAAAAUGCAUGGCUUUUGAACCAAAUGAGAUUAUAUGGUCCAUUUUGAUUGCUGGAUGCCGAAGUCAUGGGAACAUGGAAUUGGCUUUUUAUGCUUCUGAACGGCUUCUUGAGCUCAUACCUAAAGCAACUGAAACAUAUGUGUUGUUAUUAAACAUGUAUGUAGCUGCAGAGAGAUGGCAGGAUGUCUCAAGAGUGAGGAAGCUAAUGAAAGAUGAGAAAAUUGGAGUUGUGAGAGAUCGAAGCUGGGUCAACAUCAAAGAUAGAGUUUACUUUUUCAGAGCAAACGAUAGAUCACACUUCCAAAGUGAUCGAAUGUAUGAACUGUUGGAGGAUUUGCUUGAGAGAGCAAAGCGCUUAGGUUAUGUUCCUUACAAGAAUGCAGAUGUUUCCGAUGAUGAAAAGGAAGAGAAGGCAGCAUCUGGUUCUACCCUUCAUCACAGCGAAAGAUUAGCCAUUGCUUUCGGGCUGCUAAACAUGCCCAAGGGUGCACCAGUGCGAGUUGUCAAGAACAUCACUAUGUGCAGAGAUUGUCAUAGCUCAGCCAAAUUCUUUUCAAUAUUGACAGGCAGGGAAAUCAUUGUUCGGGAUAGCAAGCGGCUUCACAACUUCAAGGAUGGGCGGUGUUCUUGUGGAGAUUUUGGUGCGUUGAUCACAGCUUUUAGCCAUGAAGUUCCAUCUGGGUCUGGGAUCAAAGGCCAGGGGAUUCUUCAUUUCAUCUCCAGCCAAGAAGAAACCUCUCAAUGAGGAGAUCCAAGUGGGAAAGCUCGAGUCUGGUUUCGGUUUCAGAAGUGCAGAUUAUGGCAGUAAGGAGGAAAUCUUCUUUGACUCGCACGCAUUUUUGGAUUCUGAUUGUGAAGAUGAUUUCUGCAGUGUGAAUGGAGGUGAGAUAGCGGUAACGAAUACCUGCUUUGAAUGUUAAUUCAGCAUUAAUCGAGAACCACCUUCCUCACUGUUCUCGGCUUAUUAAUGUUACAUCAGCACAGGAAAGACGAAUUUAUUCAGCUAUAUUCUACUGAAUCCCACUUUGAUUGUUCAUCCAGAUUUUACUCCAUCCCACAGCAGUACUCCAAUCAUUCAGAUUGGGAAUGCAGAGAAAUCAACUGAAGAUUUUAUCGGUGACUCAUUUCCAGACUCGAAAUUCAAACCUUCACUGACUAGUAAAAAGAAAAAACUCGCUGA